UACGGAAGGCAGCAGUGGGGAAUAUUGCACAAUGGGCGCAAGCCUGAUGCAGCCAUGCCGCGUGUAUGAAGAAGGCCUUCGGGUUGUAAAGUACUUUCAGUCGUGAGGAAGGUGUUAAGGUUAAUAACCUUAGCAAUUGACGUUAGCGACAGAAGAAGCACCGGCUAACUCCGUGCCAGCAGCCGCGGUAAUACGGAGGGUGCGAGCGUUAAUCGGAAUUACUGGGCGUAAAGGGCACGCAGGCGGUUAAUUAAGUUGGAUGUGAAAUCCCCGGGCUUAACCUGGGAAUGGCAUUCAAGCUGGUUAGCUAGAGUCUUGUAGAGGGGGUAGAAUUCCAUGUGUAGCGGUGAAAUGCGUAGAGAUGUGGAGGAAUACCGGUGGCGAAGGCGGCCCCUGGGACAAAGGACUGACGCUCAUGUGCGAAAGCGUGGGGAGCAAACGAGGGAUUAGAUACC
Molecule: ribosomal RNA, 455 nt
Filed under: uncultured bacterium
Lineage: Bacteria
Description: bacterial SSU rRNA
Rfam family: Bacterial small subunit ribosomal RNA
Source: RNAcentral